CGGGGCGCAAAGAUGGCGUCCUCGCGGCGAGGUGAGGGGCUGGGUGUGGGGUCGCGGAGGCCUAGGGGCGUCUCGGAGGUCGCCCCGGGAGAGGGGUUCGGUUGGUUCGGUUCCUCCUGGUGCGGGGAAGGCCGAGCUGCGGGCGCAGCUCGCCGGGGUCGUUAACCGGUAGACUUCAUGUGUCCACAAGGACCCUGGCCCGGAGAGCCCGUCCCGGGUCCGCGCCGCCGCUUCCCGUGGACGCGCGGGGCGGUGGAGCCACGGCGGUGCGGUCACGGCUCCCCCGAGGGGACGCUCGGCGCCCUCCGACCCAGAUGAGAACCCCUGCGGGGCCAGCGGGCCGGCAGCGAGCGGGACGGGCUCGUCCGGAGCCGGCAGGAAGGGGACACCCCGGUUUGGAGUGGGCCCUGCCUGCGGGCCCAGUGGGACCGGCUUCUGGAGCGAAGUGAAUCAUUGACAAAAAAUGCGAAGUUCUAAAAGCCACGGUUGGACUUCCCUGGUGGCGCAGUGGUUAAGAAUCCGCCUGCCAAUGUGGGGGACACGGGUUCGAGCCCUGGUCCGGGAAGAUCCCACGUGCCGUGGAGCAACUAAGCCCAUGCGCCACAACUACUGAGCCUACAUUCUAGAGCCUGUGAGCCACAACUACGGAGCCUGCGUGCCACAACUACUGAAGCCUGCGCUCCUAGAGCCCGUGCUCCGCAACAAGAGAAGCCACUGCAAUGAGAAGCCCGGGCACCGCAAUGAAGAGUAGCACCCGCUCACCGCAACUAGAGAAAGCCCGCGCACAGCAAGAAAGACCCAACACAACCUAAAUAAAUAAGUAAAUAAAUUUAUAUUACAAAAAAAAAAAGCCACGGUUAUCUUUAGUCAGAAUGAGCCUCUUUCUGUAGGUCUGAAAUCGUUAGAACAGCAUAUCUGAUUGUAGCUACCCUUCCCGUCAAUUAUUUAAAUCCUGUGGCGCUGAAGGUUUUUCAACAGCAUUUUUUCCCUGAGCCCCAUCAUGUCAAGCAUAACAAUGGGCAACUGGCAAAUAGAUCUGAAGUUCUGAAGCGAACUGUCAAGAGAAGGGUCAGAAGGGAGCAAAGUCCUGAUUACCGUGAAAUCCACCCAAAUAAUGACAGGUAUAGAGGCAGCCUAGUUUAGCUUGGGCCUGGAAAAGAAGGGGUCGGGUUUAGAGAGCACCCUUCCCAUAUCGCGAUGGAGGUUUAUUGAGGAUCCGUGCUCGGCACCCUCCGAGGCUCCCCGUGCUCAGCACGUGCUGCCUCUCCAUCACCCGUGUCCUGUGCUGACCCACGUAAGACCCCCACCGA
RNAcentral lists this long non-coding RNA (1310 nucleotides) under Balaenoptera musculus (blue whale). Its description in RNAcentral is "lncRNA (ENSBMSG00010008899.1)". Lineage: Eukaryota; Metazoa; Chordata; Mammalia; Artiodactyla; Balaenopteridae. The record is from RNAcentral.